AUUGAACGCUGGCGGCAGGCCUAACACAUGCAAGUCGAGCGGAUGAAGGGAGCUUGCUCCUGGAUUCAGCGGCGGACGGGUGAGUAAUGCCUAGGAAUCUGCCUGGUAGUGGGGGAUAACGUCCUGAAACGGGCGCUAAUACCGCAUACGUCCUGAUGGAGAAAUUGGGGGAUCUUCGGACCUCACGCUAUCAGAUGAGCCUAGGUCGGAUUAGCUAGUUGGUGGGGUAAAGGCCUACCAAGGCGACGAUCCGUAACUGGUCUGAGAGGAUGAUCAGUCACCCUGGAACUGAGACACGGUCCAGACUCCUACGGGAGGCAGCAGUGGGGAAUAUUGGACAAUGGGAGAAAGCCUGAUCCAGCCAUGCCGCGUGUGUGAAGAAGGUCUUCGGAUUGUAAAGCAAUUUAAGUUGGGAGGAAGGGCAGUAAGUUAAUACCUUGCUGUUUUGACGGUACCAACAGAAUAAGCACCGGCUAACUUCGUG
Molecule: ribosomal RNA, 484 nt
Filed under: uncultured bacterium
Lineage: Bacteria
Description: partial 16S ribosomal RNA
Rfam family: Bacterial small subunit ribosomal RNA
Source: RNAcentral